RNAcentral lists this ribosomal RNA (255 nucleotides) under uncultured bacterium. Its description in RNAcentral is "partial 16S ribosomal RNA". It matches the Rfam family "Bacterial small subunit ribosomal RNA", at positions 524 to 777 of the family's 1533-position model. The record is from RNAcentral.
UACAGAGGUCCCAAGCGUUGUUCGGAUUCACUGGGCGUAAAGGGUGCGUAGGUGGUCAGGUAAGUCCGUUGUGAAAGCCCUGGGCUCAACCUGGGAAUGGCAGUGGAUACUGGAAAGCUAGAGUGCGGUAGAGGGUAGUGGAAUUCCCGGUGUAGCAGUGAAAUGCGUAGAGAUCGGGAGGAACAUCAGUUGCGAAGGCGGCUCUCUGGACCAGCACUGACACUGAGGCACGAAAGCGUGGGGGAGCAAACAGGA